Molecule: long non-coding RNA, 332 nt
Organism: Thunnus maccoyii (southern bluefin tuna)
Lineage: Eukaryota; Metazoa; Chordata; Actinopteri; Scombriformes; Scombridae
Exons: 3
Source: RefSeq, a predicted model, not a curated record
UGCACCACAACUAUAAAAAGCCAGCAUCAAUGGAGCCCCGAUUCGACGAGUCACCAUGGCAACGGGGAAGAGGAGGGCGGCGUUUUUUACCCCGCUGGAACUAGAAAUCUUAAUUUGCUCAUACGGCGAGUUUCAACACAUUUUAAAAAAGGAAGUGCAACACUGCUGCAGCUGCGAAAGAGAGGUAGACGGCGUGGGAGAACAUUGCCGCUCGGGUCAAUGCGUGCAAUCCGGCUGGGGAGAAGCACACUUGGCAGCAGCUCAAGAUGAAAUAUAAAAACAUUGUUCAAACAGCCAACAGAAAGAAGGCAGAUGCCCGUAAAACGGGUGGU